AGCAUAUCAAUAAGCGGAGGAAAAGAAACUAACAAGGAUUCCCCUAGUAACUGCGAGUGAAGCGGGAAAAGCUCAAAUUUAAAAUCUGGCGGUCUUCGGCCGUCCGAGUUGUAGUCUGGAGAAGCGUCUUCCGCGUCGGACCGUGUACAAGUCUCUUGGAACAGAGCGUCAUAGAGGGUGAGAAUCCCGUCUUUGACACGGACUACCGAUGCUUUGUGAUGCGCUCUCAAAGAGUCGAGUUGUUUGGGAAUGCAGCUCAAAAUGGGUGGUAAAUUCCAUCUAAAGCUAAAUAUUGGCGAGAGACCGAUAGCGAACAAGUACCGUGAGGGAAAGAUGAAAAGCACUUUGGAAAGAGAGUUAAACAGUACGUGAAAUUGCUGAAAGGGAAACGAUUGAAGUCAGUCGCGUCGUUCAGAACUCAACCUUGCCUUCGGGCUCGGUGCACUUUCUGUUUGACGGGCCAGCAUCAGUUUUGACUGUCGGAAAAAGGUCUUCGGAAUGUGGCACCUCCGGGUGUGUUAUAGCCGUUGGUCGUAUACGACGGUUGGGACUGAGGACCGCAGCACGCCUUUUGGCCGGGGUUCGCCCACGUACGUGCUUAGGA
RNAcentral lists this ribosomal RNA (604 nucleotides) under Phlebia tremellosa. RNAcentral describes it as "LSU rRNA". It matches the Rfam family "Eukaryotic large subunit ribosomal RNA", at positions 37 to 618 of the family's 3401-position model. Lineage: Eukaryota; Fungi; Basidiomycota; Agaricomycetes; Polyporales; Meruliaceae. The record is from RNAcentral.